GGGCGCGGGCCGGCCGCCGCGCGGUGCGCUCGCCGUGCUCUGUGCGGCUUGCCGGGCCGCCCGCCAGAGGGUGCCCCCCACCCCCAUGAAGUCGGAUCCUUGAGCUGCGGCGGCGGCAGCCAACUGCUCCAUAUUUGGCUUCUAUUACACAUUUACAUACUGGAGCGAGCGAGCGAGCGAGCGCGAGAGAGCGCGAGGGAGGGAGGGCGGGCGGGCGGAGGGAGGAGGGAGGGGAGGGGAGCGGGAGGAGGGGGAGGAGGAGGAGGAGGAGGAGGAGAGAGCAGAGUAUACCGCAGACAUCAUUUCUACUACAGUGGCGGAGCCGUACAGGACCUGUUUCACUGCAGGGGGAUCCAAAACAAGCCCCGUGGAGCAGCAGCCAGAGCAACAGCAGCCGCAAGACAUUGUUUCUCUCCCUCUGCCCCCCCUUCCCCACGCAACCCCAGAUCCAUUUACACUUUACAAUCACACGUGGGGAAACCAAGGACUACAAGAAUUACUUCUUUUGCAUAUCAGUCCCAGGCAGGCAAUCGAUGCUUAAAUAAAUGCUUGGUGAAUGGAUUAGUUAGAAGUUUUACCUCACAAAAACUACUACAAGCACCAAGCUCCCUGAUGGAAAGGAGCAUCGUGCAUCAAGUCACCAGGGUGGUCCAUUCAAGCUGCAGAUUUAUUUGUCAUCCUUGUACAACAGUCUCCUCCUCCACUGCCACUACAGGGAAGUGCAUCACAUGUCAGGUCACAGAACAGAAAGUGCUGGUGGACAUCUCUUCUUGCCCUAAGAUCUUCGUUGGAAGUCCUCGGGACUUGGUGUCUUUGCCGUUCAAAGUGUUUAUGAACUCGCCAGGAGGCAUAAUGUGUCACCAUUUUAUUCUGGGCCACCCUAAAGGAUGA
RNAcentral lists this long non-coding RNA (891 nucleotides) under Macaca fascicularis (crab-eating macaque). RNAcentral describes it as "lncRNA (ENSMFAG00000057625.1)". The record is from RNAcentral. Lineage: Eukaryota; Metazoa; Chordata; Mammalia; Primates; Cercopithecidae.